UGCAAAACCUACACUGAUUUGUCACUUUCUUCCUGCUGUAAAAAGUGCGCAGCCACUGACGGUAAUCCAGCUGCUUGGCAAAUUUUAUCGCCACAACACAACAGCAUGUCUGGGAGCGUUUUACCAAGAACCACAGACUUUUCUUUAGAUGAAAAACAUCUUGAAAUUCAAGCUGCACUGAAGAAUUUUUCAUCCUGUUUCCUAUUUCUCGUUGAUGGAGACUGGUGGAAAGUCUGUGCAGAGGAUUGUGGGAGUACAGAGAACGGUGAAGAGGAAAAAAAAGUUCAGAACUCCAUGCAAAUGAGAAAAAAGGAGGGUGCACACUUCCGUGGCCGCGGGAGGAAGAUGCGCUGUUCGGGGAAAAAGAAGUGGAAGCGCUCUGCCAGCAGUUUUGCAUCAAUGACCCACGACAUGUCAUCAGGGAAUUCAGGGAAAGUAAUGGAGAAUUCAUCCCAGAUGAACUGAAGGGCCUCUUGGCCGCGAUCAACACUGUCCCUAUCUCAAGUGCAGAGUUGCAGCUUCGCCAUCUCACAUCCUACACCACUAAAUCUGAAGAUCCUGGGAAUAAAUCCAUCCUCUGAGAUCCUCACAGCUCCCAGAGUCCUCCUGGAUGAAACAGCAGAUGAAUAAAGAACCUCAGAAGACACAAGCUGCACCGUUUCCAGCCCCCUGUGUGUGUGUGAGCGCCUCUGCUGCUUAUAGAAACUAAUAAACAAUCUCCAGUAACUUGAAGGGAGAGGAUGUGAGAAUGUGAGAGCAGGGAAUUCUGGGUAAUGUAGGCAAACCGUUCGGCAGGAGCAGCAAUAACAUCUCAUCUCAUCUCAUCAUCUCUAUCCUGUUCUACAGGGUCACAGGAGCCUAUC
Molecule: long non-coding RNA, 863 nt
Organism: Neoarius graeffei (lesser salmon catfish)
Lineage: Eukaryota; Metazoa; Chordata; Actinopteri; Siluriformes; Ariidae
Exons: 4
Source: RefSeq, a predicted model, not a curated record